CUUAACACAUGCAAGUCGAGGGGCAGCAUGGUCUUAGCUUGCUAAGGCCGAUGGCGACCGGCGCACGGGUGAGUAACACGUAUCCAACCUGCCGUCUACUCUUGGACAGCCUUCUGAAAGGAAGAUUAAUACAAGAUGGCAUCAUGAGUCCGCAUGUUCACAUGAUUAAAGGUAUUCCGGUAGACGAUGGGGAUGCGUUCCAUUAGAUAGUAGGCGGGGUAACGGCCCACCUAGUCUUCGAUGGAUAGGGGUUCUGAGAGGAAGGUCCCCCACAUUGGAACUGAGACACGGUCCAAACUCCUACGGGAGGCAGCAGUGAGGAAUAUUGGUCAAUGGGCGAGAGCCUGAACCAGCCAAGUAGCGUGAAGGAUGACUGCCCUAUGGGUUGUAAACUUCUUUUAUAAAGGAAUAAAGUCGGGUAUGUAUACCCGUUUGCAUGUACUUUAUGAAUAAGGAUCGGCUAACUCCGUGCCAGCAGCCGCGGUAAUACGGAGGAUCCGAGCGUUAUCCGGAUUUAUUGGGUUUAAAGGGAGCGUAGAUGGAUGUUUAAGUCAGUUGUGAAAGUUUGCGGCUCAACCGUAAAAUUGCAGUUGAUACUGGAUAUCUUGAGUGCAGUUGAGGCAGGCGGAAUUCGUGGUGUAGCGGUGAAAUGCUUAGAUAUCACGAAGAACUCCGAUUGCGAAGGCAGCCUGCUAAGCUGCAACUGACAUUGAGGCUCGAAAGUGUG
RNAcentral lists this ribosomal RNA (727 nucleotides) under uncultured Bacteroidales bacterium. Its description in RNAcentral is "bacterial SSU rRNA". It matches the Rfam family "Bacterial small subunit ribosomal RNA", at positions 47 to 763 of the family's 1533-position model. Lineage: Bacteria; Pseudomonadati; Bacteroidota; Bacteroidia; Bacteroidales. The record is from RNAcentral.